UGACAGAGACGUGGAUGACGAUGGGGAAGAUGUCCAUCCUGUGUAGGGUGCAGACACUGUCCAGCUGGACGUCCAGGAGGGCAUGGGUGUUCUUUGUGGAAGGGAGAGGAGAAGUGAGUCAAGAUCACAGGCCUCAGAGGAAGCAAAGGGAGCCAACGCCCAGCUGAGGAAACUGAGAUUCAAGGAGUUGGGAGACCUCACCCACAGUCACGUGGAUCCUAACUGGCUGAGAUGAGUUUUGGGCUCCUGCUGGGCUGUUGGGACCCAGAGGUCCGCGACAAGGUCAUCCAGGUCUCAGGUUGGUCCCUGUACCUUUAUCUCAUCCCCCUCCUCUGCAUUCCCGAAACCCUUCCCAGGACAGCUCCCCUGCCCACCCCGCCCUUGCCCUCACCUUUUCCAUGAGGGACUCCACAGCAUGGCGGGUCACCCAGCAGCGGCCCCCGGACACCUCUCCCUCCUGGAUGAUGUCCCCUCUCUGGCUCCAGGCCUCAUACUCCUCCUGGCUCAAGUACUCUGCAGGUGACAUUGGACGGGGCCAUCAUAUACCAGCUGUGUGGGGGUCUGGGGGAGUCCCAUGGUAAACACCCCUGUCCCCGUGAACCCCGCCAGCACUGGGAGGAGCUCUUCUUAGGGUGUCCACUUUACAAACCUGACCCUGCACGCCCCGCUCUGUGCCCUGCACCUCCAUCCUGAACUAUCUGGACACAGCAGGUGAGUGUGGGAAUGUGCGUGGUGGGGGAGGGAAGGAGGAGGGAGGAAGGGGAGGAGGGAGGGAGGGAAGGUGGGAGGGGUAGAGGGAUUCCCAGGCAACAGCAUACCUGCCAGGCACUUCUUAAACCCUUGGAGGAGGCACAGUUUCUCCCUCAGGAUCUUCCCAACCGCCCUGGGCACGAAGAGCACAGGCCGGGGCCGGGCGGGUCGAUGGGGCCGCACCAGGGUAUAGGGCACCAGGGUGAGGCAGCUCUCGGCCCAGAAGCACGUGCUGGAGCCUGUGGAGGAGAGGAUCCUGAGGGUGGGUGAGGCUGCGGCAGCCCCCAGCCAGCCCACCCUGCCCCGGGAGGGACUGGGUCUGCUUUGCUCACUGCAGCAGCCCCAGCACCUAGAAUUCCAGGGACACAGGCUCAGCGGUCACAGGACUCACUCCCAGUUCCAUAGCCCCUGGCUGAGCGGCUCCUUUGCACGGGGGUUACACAGCUCUGUGGCUCUCCAGGGACUGCUUUGCAGCCUGCAACUUAAUCCUGUUUCCUAUAGGCCCAAGGGAGGAUGGCGGAAGCCAGGGUUUUCUUCCUUCCAAAGGAUCUGGGAGAGUGGCACCCUUCUCCUCAGCCAUCCUCCAGGGCACCGGGUCCCAGCCCUCCCUCUGUCCUGUACUCCUCUCCUGAAAUUUUUUUUUUUUCCUGAGAUGGAGUUUUGCUCUUAUUGCCCAGGCUGGAGUGCAAUGGCGACACCUCAGCUCACUGCCACUUCUGCCUCCCGGGUUCAGGCGAUUUUCCUGCCUCAGCCUCCCGAGUAUCUGGGAUUACAGGUGUGCGCCACCACACCCAGCCCCAUGAUUCUUGAAGACCAGAUCCUGGCCUAAAUGAGUGGCAUCCCCCUGCCCCAGCUGACCAACUAGCAGCAGCUCCCAAAGCCCCUCACCCGCUUGGAGCCAGCGGCCCCUGUGCCAGCUCACCAGGCCUCACCCUCCAUCCUGCUGGGGUCCAACUGGCCCCUGUCAAAGGACAAACGCAGAGGGCUGGCCUUGGCUUUGUCCAUACUGACGAUGCGGACCAGCUUCUGUGGUCCCCCAGAAGAUGGCUAAAGGAGGGACGGAGAAAGGAUGAGGAGGAGCUGUUGAAGCCAUCAACAGGAAUGGGAAUUCAGGGGAGAUGAUUGGCACUAGGGCGACCUGGGAGUGAUGCAGAGGCGCAGAUGCUCUGAGAACAGCCUGAGUGCCUCCUGCCACCCUGCCAGCACCGAGCCCCUCUUCCAGCCCACCCCAGUGGGGUCCAGGCCCCUCCCUGGAGCCUCACCUUGCGGGUCACGGUGCACUGCUGAGUCAUGUCCUGGAUGAGGGCUAUGAGCUGCUGCUGAGCCCUGCAGAGACCAGCAGAGGCCCUGACCCAGCUGCCUCCUGCCAGGUGAGCAGGGCAGGGGAGAGCCGAGCAGGGGAGAGUGGGGGAGAUGGCCGGGUGGGAGAGAAGGGCCUCCACCUAGAGCUCCACACACCCCUUUGCUGCAGGCUGGAGCGCUCCAUCC
RNAcentral lists this long non-coding RNA (2238 nucleotides) under Pan troglodytes (chimpanzee). Its description in RNAcentral is "long non-coding RNA NONPTRT007370". The record is from RNAcentral. Lineage: Eukaryota; Metazoa; Chordata; Mammalia; Primates; Hominidae.